GGAAUCUUUCACAAUGGGCGCAAGCCUGAUGGAGCAACACCGCGUGAGUGAAGAAGGGCUUCGGCUCGUAAAGCUCUGUUGUUAAAGAAGAACACGUAUGAGAGUAACUGUUCAUACGUUGACGGUAUUUAACCAGAAAGUCACGGCUAACUACGUGCCAG
RNAcentral lists this ribosomal RNA (161 nucleotides) under uncultured bacterium. Its description in RNAcentral is "partial 16S ribosomal RNA". It matches the Rfam family "Bacterial small subunit ribosomal RNA", at positions 358 to 511 of the family's 1533-position model. The record is from RNAcentral.